AGAACGAACGUUGGCGGCCUGGAUUAGGCAUGCAAGUUGAGCGUACCCAGCAAUGGGGAGCAGCGUAAGGGGCAGUAAGGCAUGGGUAUCUACCCGGGGAUCGGGCAUAGCCUGUAGAGAUACAGGGUAAUUCCCGAUGAUGUCGCAAGACCAAAGCUCCGGCGUCCCUGGAGGAGCCCAUGUGAUAUUAGCUAGUUGGUGGGGUAACGGCCUACCAAGGCGAAGAUGUCUAGCGGGUGUGAGAGCACGACCCGCGCCACUGGCACUGAGACACUGGCCAGACACCUACGGGUGGCUGCAGUCGAGGAUCUUCGGCAAUGGGCGCAAGCCUGACCGAGCGAGGCCGCGUGGGCGAUGAAGGCCUUCGGGUUGUAAAGCCCUGUCGAGGGGAGAAAAGCCCGCAAGGUGUGAUCUAUCCCUGGAGGAAGCACGGCUAAGUUCGUGCCAGCAGCCGC
This 455-nucleotide ribosomal RNA is filed under the name uncultured soil bacterium. Its description in RNAcentral is "bacterial SSU rRNA". It matches the Rfam family "Bacterial small subunit ribosomal RNA", at positions 26 to 518 of the family's 1533-position model. The record is from RNAcentral.